CGAAGGGUGCUAGCGUUGUUCGGAAUCACUGGGCGUAAAGCGCGCGUAGGCGGUUAUUCAAGUCAGGGGUGAAAUCCUGAGGCUCAACCUCAGAAUUGCCUUUGAAACUGUAUAACUGGAGUGUCGGAGGGGAUAGCGGAAUUGCUAAUGUAGCGGUGAAAUGCGUAGAUAUUAGCAGGAACACCGGUGGCGAAGGCGGCUAUCUGGACGACAACUGACGCUGAGGCGCGAAAGCGCGGGGAUCAAACAGGAUUAGAUACCCUGGUAGUCCGCGCUGUAAACGAUGGAUGCUAGCUGUUGGGGGGGUUACCUCUCAGUAGCGUAGCUAACGCGUUAAGCAUCCCGCCUGGGGAGUACGGUCGCAAGAUUA
Molecule: ribosomal RNA, 370 nt
Filed under: uncultured organism
Description: bacterial SSU rRNA
Rfam family: Bacterial small subunit ribosomal RNA
Source: RNAcentral